Molecule: long non-coding RNA, 2752 nt
Organism: Ziziphus jujuba (common jujube)
Lineage: Eukaryota; Viridiplantae; Streptophyta; Magnoliopsida; Rosales; Rhamnaceae
Exons: 4
Source: RefSeq, a predicted model, not a curated record
UGUGUGCGAUGCCAUUUGAAAAAAAAAAAAAAAAAUUCUGGCAGAAGAGAAGAGAACCCACGUGCCUGGCACCCUGUUUCAACAAAAAAAAAAAAAAGAAAAAAAAAAAGAAAAGAAAAAACUGUGCAGAGAAGAGAACCCACGGUGUAGAGAAGAGAAGAAGAACCCAUGGUGCAGAGAAGAACCCACGCCCAGCAGCUCCAGCUCCAAACCAGAUCCACCAGCCGCAAGCACCUCCAGCUUUCAGCAAUAUGCAAAUGAGAGUGGAACUCAAGUGUACACUCCACAAGUUGUAGAAGAAAGAAAGCCAAAGGUUAAACAAGAAUUUCAAACAAUUGAAGAGGCUUUCCAAUUUUACAAUGCAUAUGCAAGAGAAUGUGGAUUUAGUGCAAGAAUGAGUACUAGCAAGAGAAAAGAAAAAACAAAUGAGCUAAUAUGGAAACAAUUUGUGUUUUAAGGAAGGAGAGACGAAUGAAUAUUAUCAAAAGAAUGAAAAACAUAUAAUUGAAAGAUCUGGUGAAAGGAAUCGAGGAUUAGUUCGAGUUGGCUGCAAAGCUAAGAUGACAGUGGUUAAGAGUCAAAUAGGGCCAAAUUGGAUUAUUAACCAAUUUGUAGAAGAGUAUAACCAUGCACUUGCUACUCCAAACAAGAUACAUAUGUUAAGAUCUCAUAGAGUUGUAUCAGCUGCAAAAAGAGUUUUGAGCCAACAAUUAUCAGAAGCAAAUAUUCCAAUGUGUCAACAAAUAAGGGUGUUGGAAAUAGAAGCUGGUGGUCCUCAAAAUAUAGAAUGUGUUGAGAAAGAUAUAAGAAACUAUGGAUAGAGGAUGAGAGAUGAUAAAAAAGAUAAUGAUGCAUAAUUGUUAAUUGAAUUUUUUUUCUUCCGAUGAAGAAAAAAAUCUAGCCUUUUACUUUAAGUAUGAACUCGAUGAAGAAAGCAGGCUUGUUAGAUGCUUCUGGGCAGAUCCUUUUGCAAGGAGAUCGUAUCCUUUCUUUGGUGAUGUAGUAGUAUUUGACACAACUUACAACACGAAUAAAUACGAUAUGAUAUUUGCUCCAUUGGCAAAAGUAAACCAUAAUGGUCAGACUGUCAUUUUUGGAUGUGCUUUGUUGAGUGGUGAAAAGACAGAAUCUUUUAUUUGGUUAUUCAAUCAAUUGUUGGAUGCAAUGCCAAGGGGUGUACCUCAAGUGAUUAUUACGAAUCAAGAUCUUGCAAUGACUAAGACCAUUUCUCAAGUUCUUCCAUCAACUUGUCAUCGAUACUGUAUCUGUCUUAUUUUGAAUAAAUUUUCAAAGAAGAUAAAUACGCUAGUUUAUCGGGAUAACUAUCAUUGGUUCAAAAAUAUAAUUUUGAACUCUGAGACCGUUGAAGAGUUUGAAAGUAGAAGAGUUUGAAAGUAGUUGGGUUGAGUUGUUGAAGAAUACUAAUUUGGAAGAUAAUACAUGGCUGCGCCAAUUGUAUGAAAUUCGCAACAAGUGGGUUCCUAUUUAUUUUAAUCAUAUCUUCAAUGCAAGAAUGUUAAGUAGUCAAAGAGCAGAAAGUUCACAUGCAUUUUUCAAAAGGCACAUUUCAAACAAAAAUUCAUUGAUGGACUUUAUUAUACACUUUAAUAGAGCUGUUAAUCAUCAAAGACAUGAUGAGUUAGUUGCAGAUCAUAUUGAUGUGAAUGAGCAACCAAAGUUGAAAACUAUGUGCCCAAUGGAGACACAAAUGGUGAAAAUAUACACAGAGAGAAAUUUUAAAAUUUUUCAAGAUAAGUUAUUUGCGAGUUCUGCAUAUUUCUUAAGUUGCACAUUUGAGGAUGAUGAUUCGAUGCUUUAUAGUGUGCAGAAGGCUGGUGAAAGUUGUUCAUCAAGAAGUAGACAACUUGACUAUAAUAAACUUUUAGAUUUUGUGUCAUGCAAUUGUAGGCUAUUUAACUUUAAUGGCAUCCUAUGUAGACAUAUAUUAGCUUACUUUCGAAUUAAACAAGUCAUGUUUUUGCCAAGCGAAUACAUUCUUAGGAGAUGGACAAAACGUACAAAAAUUGAUGAAGUGUGGGAUAAUAAUGGUCAAGCAAUGAAUGACCAAGAUGAUAUGUCAUUGGUGACUAGGCAUGUAAGUUUAUCUCGAGCUUGUUCUAAUUUAAUUGAUGAUGCAUCUCUCAUAGUUGAAGAUACCAAAUUCCUUUUGAAUGAGAUUGAAUUGCUAUGUGGUAAAAUUAAAGAAAUAAAUGGUGAUGGAAUGUUAGUGCCAAAAACAAAUAGCAAAAGAAGUACACAAGAGCUUCCAAGUAUUAGUAAUCCAUCACAUGUGAGAUCAAAAAGAUGUGGAAAAAGAUUUAAAAGAGAUGUCAAUUUCAAAAUCACGACUUUGUCAAGGAUGUGGACUUCGUGGACAGCAAUACGAUAAAAGGAAUUGUCCUUGAUUGCAAGAAAGAUCCACAAUGUAUGAUCAGGACAUCAAUUCCAAUUCGGCAAGUGAAGAUGAUGAUUUAACUUCUCAUGCUGGAUCAAAUUUACAUAGUGCUAAAACAUCAUAAUUGUCAUAUCGUGAAGAGCAGCAGGACCAUGGAGAUUGUCAUAUCGUGAAGGCUGGUUGUAUGAAAACUAUGUGUAAUGUACGAGAACUAUGUGUAAUGUGUGGCCGAUUAUAAUUUUUCUUUUCUUUUUGUAGUUUUUUAAACAUAUUUUGAUCUCUUUCCUCUCACUCUUUAUUUCGCUCUCGAAAAUUUGUAGCAACUUGAAUACGAAAAUAUUAUGAGAAUUUUCAUUC